RNAcentral lists this ribosomal RNA (599 nucleotides) under uncultured bacterium. RNAcentral's name for it is "bacterial SSU rRNA". It matches the Rfam family "Bacterial small subunit ribosomal RNA", at positions 214 to 810 of the family's 1533-position model. The record is from RNAcentral.
UUCGGUAUGGGAUGGGGAUGCGUUCCAUUAGUUAGUUGGCGGGGUAACGGCCCACCAAGACGACGAUGGAUAGGGGUUCUGAGAGGAAGGUCCCCCACAUUGGAACUGAGACACGGUCCAAACUCCUACGGGAGGCAGCAGUGAGGAAUAUUGGUCAAUGGACGAGAGUCUGAACCAGCCAAGUAGCGUGAAGGAUGACUGCCCUAUGGGUUGUAAACUUCUUUUAUAUGGGAAUAAAAUGUUCCACGUGUGGGAUUUUGUAUGUACCAUAUGAAUAAGGAUCGGCUAACUCCGUGCCAGCAGCCGCGGUAAUACGGAGGAUCCGAGCGUUAUCCGGAUUUAUUGGGUUUAAAGGGAGCGUAGGUGGAUUGUUAAGUCAGUUGUGAAAGUUUGCGGCUCAACCGUAAAAUUGCAGUUGAAACUGGCAGUCUUGAGUACAGUAGAGGUGGGCGGAAUUCGUGGUGUAGCGGUGAAAUGCUUAGAUAUCACGAAGAACUCCGAUUGCGAAGGCAGCUCACUGGACUGCAACUGACACUGAGGCUCGAAAGUGUGGGUAUCAAACAGGAUUAGAUACCCUGGUAGUCCACACAGUAAACGAU